ACCCGCUGAACUUAAGCAUAUCAAUAAGCGGAUGAAAAGAAACUAACAAGGAUUCCCCUAGUAACGGCGAGUGAAGCGGGAAGAGCUCAAAUUUGUAAUCUGGCACCUUCGGUGUCCGAGUUGUAAUCUCGAGAAGUGUUUUCCGCGCCGGACCGCAUACAAGUCUGUUGGAAUACAGCGUCAUAGUGGUGAGAAUCCCGUACCUAAUGCGGAUGCCCGGUGCUUUGUGAUACACUUUCGAAGAGUCGAGUUGUUUGGGAAUGCAGCUCAAAUUGGGUGGUAAAUUCCAUCUAAAGCUAAAUAUUGGCGAGAGACCGAUAGCGAACAAGUACCGUGAGGGAAAGAUGAAAAGCACUUUGGAAAGAGAGUUAACAGUACGUGAAAUUGUUGGAAGGGAAACGCUUGAAGUCAGACUUGCUAUUCGGAAUUCAGCCGCAAGGUGUACUUUUCGAUUUGCAGGCCAGCAUCAGUUUUUGGGGAUGGAAAAGGGCCGGAGGAAGGUAGCAAUUUAGGUUGUGUUAUAGCCUUCGGCUGGAUUCAUCUUUGGGGACUGAGGAACGCAGCGCGCUUUUUGCAAGGCUCUCGAGCUUUCCGCGCUUAGGAUGCUGGUGGAAUGGCUUUAAACGACCCGUCUUGAAACACGG
Molecule: ribosomal RNA, 644 nt
Filed under: uncultured fungus
Lineage: Eukaryota; Fungi
Description: LSU rRNA
Rfam family: Eukaryotic large subunit ribosomal RNA
Source: RNAcentral